Molecule: ribosomal RNA, 467 nt
Filed under: uncultured bacterium
Lineage: Bacteria
Description: partial 16S ribosomal RNA
Rfam family: Bacterial small subunit ribosomal RNA
Source: RNAcentral
GAUGAACGCUGGCGGCGUGCUUAACACAUGCAAGUCGAACGGAAAGGCCCAAGCUUGCUUGGGUACUCGAGUGGCGAACGGGUGAGUAACACGUGGGUGAUCUGCCCUGCACUUCGGGAUAAGCCUGGGAAACUGGGUCUAAUACCGGAUAGGACCACUUCUUGGAUGUUGUGGUGGAAAGUUUUUUCGGUGUGGGAUGAGCUCGCGGCCUAUCAGCUUGUUGGUGGGGUAAUGGCCUACCAAGGCGUCGACGGGUAGCCGGCCUGAGAGGGUGUACUGCCACAUUGGGACUGAGAUACGGCCCAGACUCCUACGGGAGGCAGCAGUGGGGAAUAUUGCACAAUGGGCGCAAGCCUGAUGCAGCGACGCCGCGUGGGGGAUGACGGCCUUCGGGUUGUAAACUCCUUUCGCUAGGGACGAAGCGUUUUGUGACGGUACCUGGAGAAGAAGCACCGGCUAACUACGUG